UUUACCACGUGGGUAGAACUAGAGGAAAACCUUUUCCGAUUCAGGGUACGAAUCCUUUUUUGUGUGUGUGGUUGAUGAGAGACCCUGCUUUCCUCUGGAAUUUCACACACGGCCCCAAAUAUCCCUCGGAUACGGAUUUCCUGAAGCGGCAACCCAAGUUCUGGCACUGUUGUGGCUCCUGGGCCUUUUCCCACCCGCGGCAGCCACAGGCCUCCCUCCUCCUAGGCUGACAGCCUCUCUCCCCGUGAAGUGGUCUUGGCAUCACAGGUGUUGAGUGUCUCUAAUCCUCCCAUCGAAUGUGUCCUGGGGCAGAUUUCCUGUGUGAAGAGGCUCACACCAGUGGCACGUUUGUGACACGCAGAAACAUCAGCAAUGACUGAAAAUUUGCCAAAUGGACCCUCCGGGAGGCCUGAGCUAUACUGCCGGCGGCAAGCGGACCAGCGAUGGGAACCAGCCCGGGCCGGUCUUCUCUCCAGCCCCGGUGAUCUGGCUCUAGCUAAACUCGGCUGCCUAGAUAUUGUCGGUAUCGGGUGGAUUUCAUGUGAACUGAGGGUUUCCUCCCUUUUGAUUCUUCUCUUGAAGGCCGGCUUCAGACACUUCAGAUCUACUUGCCGGCCGGCCACUGUGAUGGAUUAGAACCGUGGCAGCUCAGGAACAAAGGCUGCACAAAAACCUUACGUGACACAGGAUUUUACAUAAUUAACGUUAAAGGCAGCUGUAGUCAGAUUGGCGGCUCUAAGGGUUUCAGACCCAUAACGGCUCACUGUGACUAAACACAGCAGUGGUUUUCAGGACCUAA
Molecule: long non-coding RNA, 799 nt
Organism: Leopardus geoffroyi (Geoffroy's cat)
Lineage: Eukaryota; Metazoa; Chordata; Mammalia; Carnivora; Felidae
Exons: 2
Source: RefSeq, a predicted model, not a curated record